RNAcentral lists this long non-coding RNA (276 nucleotides) under Glycine max (soybean). Its description in RNAcentral is "long non-coding RNA (GMAX_LNC001676)". The record is from RNAcentral. Lineage: Eukaryota; Viridiplantae; Streptophyta; Magnoliopsida; Fabales; Fabaceae.
UUGUCUCGAACCUUGCCACAGUGCUCAACGACAUCACCCAAUGCCUCCAAAACUAGGUUUUUUCCACCCUUUUCACUACGCCAUACGUUUGAAAACGGUCGCUCUUGUUGUCACCAAUGAUCACAUAGAGGUGUUGAGGGUGGAGUUGUGCAUGAUGAUGCGAUGGUUGGUGAUGGCUAGGUCGUUGUUGUUGCGAGCACAUAGAGGUGGAUCUCAGUGGUGAUGGUGUGCACGGGCGGUGAAUGAGCUUGGACAUGAGUCACGGCUUCUUUGUUG